GUUGUCAGCUCGUGCCAUAAGGUGUUGGGUUAAGUCCCGCAGCGAGCACAACCCUCGUGUUUAGUUGGCAAUGUUGAGUUUGGAACUCUGAACAAACUGCCGGUGAUAAGCUGGAGGAAUGUGAGGAUGAUGAUA
Ribosomal RNA from Lupinus angustifolius (narrow-leaved blue lupine), 135 nucleotides. It matches the Rfam family "Bacterial small subunit ribosomal RNA", at positions 1051 to 1187 of the family's 1533-position model. NCBI's taxonomy places the organism in Eukaryota, Viridiplantae, Streptophyta, Magnoliopsida, Fabales, Fabaceae. The record is from Rfam.